CCUUGGACGAUUGAUUCCUUUCUUGAUCUACUCAGGCGUCACCAAUCUCACCAAUCUCUCUAGUACUCAUCUCAAUAUUCUCAUUUCGCCUCUCAGCUUCCAUUCACCAUUCUUUCUUUUCCCAUCAAAGUCCUCUUCUACAUAGACUUCACUUCACAUAUCUACAAUUUUUUUCUUGAAACUGUGUUCAUCCACCGUCAAAUGAAUCGAUUCAAGCAAGAGGUAUGAUUUUCUGUUUUCAUCUUUCAUUGUUCAGCAUAUGCUCAAUGUUGUCUUCAAUGAACCAAUCGUUCACAGAUCUAAAUUUUAUGCUUUUUUGUUUUUGCAUGUAGCCUUUCUCAUUUACUCAACUUGUUUUACUCGAGAAGGAAAUAUUUUUCCACCUUCUUCCGCCUUUUGGAUGUUUUACCUAUAAUGUCUUCAAAUGUAUGAUUUUCAAGGUUCUACCUUUAAGCAUGAGUCAACAUUUUUCCAUCUUAUUAAACCUCCUAUCACUCUAUAUCACAAAUGUAUUUUGAUAUGUCUCGAAGCUCCAGUCACUCGAUGUCAAAGGUUUGUCAAGAUCUAUAUUUUUGAGGUUAUGUGGAAAAAAACACAUUUUUAUAUCAUCAAACUCAUGAAUUUCAAGCUUCUACCUAUAUGUAUGUACAAUAUUUUACUGACUCUACAUUUUUCAUCUCAAAAGGAAAUAUUUUACACCUUAUUGAACCUUCAAUGACUUCCCCCCAAAAUGUAAGCGAAUAUCAAUUUUUUUGAGUUAUUUGAAGCAAAAACACAUUUUUAUAUAGUAGCAUGAUUGUCACCUUCUACCUUUCUACAUAUACAAUAUGUCACCCACUCUACCAAUUUUUUUCUAAAAAGGAAAUAUUUUCCGCACCUUAUUGAACCUAUAGCCACUUACCCUCAAAAUGUGUCUCAAUAUCAUUUUCUUUAUAUUUGAAGGAAUAAACUUUUCUUAUAUCGUCACACAUAUGCAUUUUUAAGUUUUUCUCUUUCUACUACUCCAUUAUUUUGCUUUUUUAUUCUAUUUUUAUGGAGGAAAUUUUAUACAAUUGGUUAUAAUAUUUUUUAUCUUGAUAUUCUUUCUAUGCUUACAGCUGCUUAAUAAUUUGAUCUGAUGCACAUACUUCUAUAAGAUAUUUGUGAGGUGUGCCUAGAAAUGUUGACAAAAAAUGAAGAGAAAAUAAAAAAUUUCUUUGAAGAACACCUUCACACCGAUGAAGAGAUCCACUUUGUUGUUGCCAGAAGUGGUAUUUUUGUUUAUUUUCCUAUUUUUUUAUUCUCAAAAAUUGAAACUUAGGGAGAUACUUUAUAAGCAUGUGUAUAAAAGGUCUUAGUUCAUUUAGCUUCUUAUGCCUACUAUGAUUGAUUAUUUUUAUUUUCUGCAUGCAUUUAAAAUCUAUAACCUUAGUCUUUAUAUUGGAGAGAAUAAGAUGUUACUUAUUUGAUUUCAAAUUUUGAAAUGAUUUUUCUGUAUUGGGUUGUCAUAAAUAUUCUAUAGUUCCAUACUGUAUCAAUUCUCAAUUAUUUGGUCAUUGAGAUUUCAUGAUAGAUUAAGAUUAUGUUUGGUUUUGGAAUGAAAGUAGAAGGAAAAAAGUGGAAAGAAAGAGAACUGAAGGAAAGAAAAGUAGUAGAAAAUGAGAUGAUAGUUUUAUUGUUUGGUAUGAUUGAAAAUGGAAGGAAAGUGAGAGAAAAGAAAAACACAUUUAUAUAUAAUGUAUUGAAAAUGACAUAAGUGUUCUCAUUAUAUCUAUAUAAUUAUGUAGAUAUCUAAUUUUUAAAUUACAUAAUUAAAUAAUUUAUUUUUAAUAAUAUUAAUUAAUAUUUUUUAAGUAACAUAAUCUAAG
Molecule: long non-coding RNA, 1847 nt
Filed under: Lupinus angustifolius (narrow-leaved blue lupine)
Lineage: Eukaryota; Viridiplantae; Streptophyta; Magnoliopsida; Fabales; Fabaceae
Description: long non-coding RNA (LANG_LNC000037)
Source: RNAcentral